This 3693-nucleotide long non-coding RNA is filed under the name Aquilegia coerulea. RNAcentral describes it as "long non-coding RNA (ACOE_LNC000463)". Lineage: Eukaryota; Viridiplantae; Streptophyta; Magnoliopsida; Ranunculales; Ranunculaceae. The record is from RNAcentral.
UAAGAAUAAGAUCUAAGAAUAGUAAGAACCAGUACACAUUAAUUACUAAUUAAAUCUUCACUAUAACACAUCUUUAUCAUUCAAAUAAUUGGAACCUGUGUAAACCAGGUCAUUUGUGGUGUCACCGCAACAAAACCUUGUCUAGACAGAACUCUACACCUAUUCUCUGAUUUUCUUCCAGAAACCUGCGUUUAGAUUUAAACCUAUGUAUAAUGAGUCAGAAUUAAUGAAUUUAACACAAUGCCUAUGGUUAAAAUUCAAGAGGAAAAAAGGAUAUCAUUAACAAAGUAUAUACCAAUAAGAAUAAGAAGAGGACGGCCGGACGGGACACCAUAGAUGGAAUUCUGUAAGGUAAAGCAAACCGAUAGGCUAGACCUAGAACUAUUCUUUCCCAUACCUGUAAACAGCAAACCAAUUUAUCCACAUUAAAAAUACACACGACAGUCUUUAUUUCGCACAAGAGUAAAUAAAAUAGAUGAUGUGCAAAGAAUAGAAUGCACUCGAAGUGAUGAAAGCACUGGUUGUUUCAUUGCAGGGAAAGGGAGCAGAGUUUUUUAUGGCCUUCAAAGUCUGACAGGAUGAAAGUGCUGCACAAAAAUUUUCUCUGCAGAAGAUGUGUAGAAGGGCAACUGAGUUCAAAUUGCUAUGGGUAGGGUGUACCGUCUACUGCUCGGUCCAAGUAUAAGGCUUUGUUUAUUCAUAUGGUUUAGGAGGGUAAUGUAGGGGAUACUGUUGUUAAGUAGAGGCAUGUCUCUACUGGGGUGUCUUAACCUGACGGUACUUACAAAUUACAAUACACAGUUAAGGGAUGUAAUGAUCUGUUGAGUUAAUAAUAUUUCUGCUUUUAUCAAAAAUGGAAUGCACCCGAAACAUAGCAAUGUAAAAAUACUUAAAAUGCUACUAACCUUUUCUACCACCCCUGUAUCUAUAUCACUCUUCCCCAGAUCAAUUCUUUAAAAGAAUAAAUUACCACUUACAUCUUCUCCAGAAACAAGCCUACAAAACAAUCAACAAUCUUUUAGAAAAUCAUAGAUGAAUUGUUUAAAUUGAGGGAAAUUUAGACUUAACCCCCCAGAUAAUGGACCUCUUUUGAUUAAACCCCCACAUAUAUGAAAAGUUUGACUUUGCACCCCACCGUUUGCUUCCGUCAAGUUUUUCAUCCAAACUAUAUUUUUACUUCCCUAAAUACCCCUCGUUUUCUAAUAUAUAGGGGUUUUAACUAAUAAAGAACAAGGGGCAUUUGAGGAAGUAAGAAUAUAAUUUGGAUGGAAAACUGGACGGUGGGGUGCAAAGUCAAACUUUUCAUAUACGUGGGGGUUUAAUCAAAAAAGGUCCAUUAUCUGGGGGGUUAAGUCUAAAUUUUCCUUAAAUUGAUCAUUAGAAACUGAUAGAGGUAUUUGGACCAUAGAAAUAGUUAUCACAAGGUCAAGAUAAUAGAGAUUAGGAAGUUUAGUGAAAAGCAGGGGUAUUGAACCUUUAAUUUGUGUCUACCUAAAUCAAUUGUAAGCUCUAUAAUGCCCUUGCUCCCACAAUAUUUGUUCAUAUAUCUUAAAUUGGUGGUCUUUCUUUAAUUUGUUCACAAUGUUUCUACUACUGAUCUGUCAUUUCAUUGUUAUUUUUUGUUUAUAUAUUGUUUUUACUUGUUACUGCUUAAACCUUAAAGGUUGUAUUCUUGAACAAAUAUCAAAGAUUUUGUUACUGGAUUAGUGCUCAAUAAUCUUCUUCUAAAUGCCACAAUUUUGAACACAACUCACCUGUAACAGGUUCCUAAAUGCCACAAUUUUGAACACAACUCACCUAUAACAGGUUCAUAUAUGAUACAAGAAAUUGCCUAGUAAGUAUUUAUACCCACCAGUAUAUCAAGGUUCAAAAACUCGAAAACUCGGGUCGCUCGAAAUUUUAUUGGGUCGGGUUAACUUGAAAACUCGGGAGUCGACUCGGCGGGUCAUUAUAUACGUAAUUGAAAUAAAAUAGUGUUUACAGACAAAAUUGUCUACUUCAACAAUGUUUUAACACUGAUUGAAAGGAUAUACUUGGGGCAUCGAGUCAUGGAUUGCUGAUAGUUAUAUGUUUUUCAAAUGUAAUUACUAUUUGGGAAAUUUUGACUUAACCCCCUCCCCUCUUUGUCCACGUUUUGAAUAAACCCCCCCAUUUGUCCAAGUUUGGACUUUACCUCCCUUCCGUCAGUUUCCAUCCAAGUUAACACCUAUUUGGAUUUUUUCUUUCUAAAAUACCCCUCACUUUUUUAUUAGAUUUAACCCCUCUAAAAGAACAAGGGAGGGACAUUUUAGGAAGAAAAAAUGUAAAUAAGUGUUAACUUGGAUGGGAGUUGACGGAGAGAGGGUAAAGUUAAAACUUGGACAAAUAGGGGGGUUUAUUCAAAACGUGGACAAAAUAGGAGGGUUAAGUCUAAUUUUCCCUUACUAUUUUACCCAAAUUCAUGUUAAAUUAACCACCAAAUUCCUAAAUUAUGCAAUCUGACUCGGCCCAACUCGGUUCAACUUGGCCGAGUUACUCGCUCAACUAAUAGCUGGGUAAUAUCAACGAGUUUACCCAAAGUUCAAUAGAGUCGAGUCAACUCGGGCGAGUUCCGAGUCGACUCAACGAGUUUUUAAACUCCGCAGUAUAUUGCUACAUGCACGCUUUUCUUUUAGCCACUUAAUAAAUAACAACUGUGCACAACGUACGAUAAGAGUACUUAACUUUAUAACCUUGAUAAGAUUGCAAUAUCAUUCAUUUUUGGGUUAUUUUGUAUUUGGUCCCUCUAGAAGAUGGGUAAUUAGUAUGUAGUCAAACUUUUAUCGUUUAUUAGUAUAUGGUCCUUUUUCUGUCACUUGACUGUCAGUCAACCCAGUUGACCAUAGUCAACACAUCCAUAUUUUUUUAAUGACCAGAUUACCCUUUCAUGUGACUAGCACGUGACUUAAAACUCGAAAACUAAAAAAUUAGUUUGUUUGUAGACAUGCAAAAUUAGUUUAUGAUCCUCCUUUCUCAUAUUUCGUUUCAAAUAUAGUCCCUGUAACCAGUAAUGAAUAUAACCAUGGAAGUUAUCUUACCGGAUUGAAGUUGAGCACGUAACCACCACCCAUGGAAUCUCUAAAAGUUUAUUUAAAUCAAUGCUCUUCACUUGAUUGUCAUCUUCACCUGUAAACACAAGAGAAUAAACUUUUGGAGGUUCCAUGAGUAGUGGUUACAUGUUCAAAUUCACUCCAACUAAGGUAAAAUAAUUUCCAUGCCUUCCACUACUGUUUACAGGGACUAUAUUUAAAACGAAAUAUGAGAAAGAGGGACUAUAAACUAAUUUUGCAUGUCUACAAACAACUAAUUUUUGGUUUUUGAGUUUUAAGUUCUGUCACGUGCUAGUCACGUGAAAGGGUAAUCUAGUCAUUAAAAAAAUAUGAAUGUUUUAACUCUGAUCAACUGGGUUGACUGACAGUCAAAUAACGAAAAAAUGAUCAUUUACUAAUAAACGAUAAAGAUUGGACCAAAUGCUAAUUACCCAUCUUCUAGAGAGACCAAAUACAAAAUACCCCUUCAUUUUUCUCCUCUUUUAAUUACUGCAAACUUAAAAAGUUGUAAAGUAACAUUAUGAAAGUAAUUCUCACAAGUCAAAGGCUCAAAGCUCGGUGGUCAGACCAUGGUGUACCUCAGCUUAAACAGAGCGCUUAAAUAACAAACCGACCCAUCCUGCUG